GAUGAACGCUGACGGCGUGCCUAAAACAUGCAAGUCGAGCGAACGGACGAGAAGCUUGCUUCUCUGAUGUUAGCGGCGGACGGGUGAGUAACACGUGGAUAACCUACCUAUAAGACUGGGAUAACUUCGGGAAACCGGAGCUAAUACCGGAUAAUAUUUUGAACCGCAUGGUUCAAAAGUGAAAGACGGUCUUGCUGUCACUUAUAGAUGGAUCCGCGCUGCAUUAGCUAGUUGGUAAGGUAACGGCUUACCAAGGCAACGAUGCAUAGCCGACCUGAGAGGGUAGUCCGCCCCCACGGAACUGAGACAAGGUCCAGACUCCUACGGGAGGCAGCAGUAGGGAAUCUUCCGCAAUGGGAGAAAGCCUGACGGAGCAAAGCCGCGUGAGUGAUGAAGGUCUUCGGAUCGUAAAACUCUGUUAUUAGGGAAGAACAUAUGUGUAAGUAACUGUGCACAUCUUGACGGUACCUAAUCAGAAAGCCACGGCUAACUACGUG
RNAcentral lists this ribosomal RNA (497 nucleotides) under uncultured bacterium. RNAcentral describes it as "partial 16S ribosomal RNA". It matches the Rfam family "Bacterial small subunit ribosomal RNA", at positions 28 to 507 of the family's 1533-position model. The record is from RNAcentral.